This is a long non-coding RNA of Xenia sp. Carnegie-2017, 529 nucleotides long. RefSeq lists it as uncharacterized. The transcript is spliced from 5 exons. The record is from RefSeq and is a predicted model, not a curated record. Lineage: Eukaryota; Metazoa; Cnidaria; Anthozoa; Malacalcyonacea; Xeniidae.
CGGUAACCAUGUGGUAGAAUGGUAGAAACGUGGUGAAAAUGUGACACCGACAGUUAAUAAAUGAAUUGUUCAUUUUCAACUUAACUUUGUUUCGCAUUUUAUAAUAAUUCCGUCUGAAUAUGUUUGGCUAGGUGUUUGGGCUGUAUUUGAUGAAAACGGACUAUCACAUCAUGCAUUGCUGCAUUAUUGUAUGGCUAAAUGCAUUCUUCAGGUAAAGGUUUUGGCCAAAGCUCUCUCUCAUCCAGCUUAAUAUAUUUACUUGUUUAAUGGUGUACUUAUGGCCAUGGUGAAAAAAUUUCUGAUGACACCCAUCACUAAUGGCAAUAUGAAUAAUUGUUCACCAACAGAUUUUAGUCCAACAAUCAUUUCUCAUCAAAUGAACGUUUCUGCAAUAAUAAGAUGACGAGUUUUGGAUGAAAAAGUUCUUUUAAGAAAAGCCGGUAAACAGAGUCCAUUGUAUGAAUGAACAGUGAUGAGCUUUGUAAAAAGGAUUUGGUUGACGCCAUUUUGCCUUUGGUGACGGAUCGCC